This is a long non-coding RNA of Gasterosteus aculeatus aculeatus (three-spined stickleback), 1395 nucleotides long. The record is from Ensembl. NCBI's taxonomy places the organism in Eukaryota, Metazoa, Chordata, Actinopteri, Perciformes, Gasterosteidae.
ACAGUGUUGUGCAGGUUGUGGUUAAAGUCAUGGGAUAAGUGUGUAGAGUUUUGAAAACUGUGUUCAAGCAAUGAAAAAUGAACUAGAGUUUGGUCCACAUGAGCUGCUGCUGUGCAGACUGUAGUUAGAGUUUUGCACAUGUAGUUCCAGUUGUGCUCACUGUCGUUUAGCAAUCGAAAAAAACUGUAAAUGCAUGGAUUCAUAAAUGAUACACCUUUUACAUUAAACAAUACAAAUGAUCACCAGAUUAUUGCGGCCACUGUACCUCCUGGUCUGGGGAUGAACAUGACCUCUGACCUUGUGUGUGUGUGUUUAUGAUUAAAUAAAUAGUCAACAACUAUUUUCUGGUGUUUCAUUAGCUGCAGAUACAAAAGACACAACCGGUUCAGUUCUCUACCUGGCUGGUUACGUGGUACCACAAUGGAGGGGGCAGAGAGAACAAGGCACCACAGUGUGUGUGUGAGUGUGUGUGUGUGUGUGUGUGUGUGUGUGUGUGUGUGGGUGUGUUGGGGGGGAACAUGACAUGAUAACAUUCAUUAACUCCAACAUCCUGUGAUAUUAGCUCUCCUUCGCCUGGAGGUGAUGACGGUGUCUACACAACAGCACACACACACUGUUACACACACUCGCAUACACGUGCAGAUACACACACACACACACACUGACGUCAAGGAAAUUCCACACCAUCUCUGUUCAGCCUUUGCCUUCGGUUACGUUGUGGUUUAUGAAAAGCAGCGACUUACAAAAACAAAAUAUUGUGUAAGUGUUUCUGCCAGAAUUCUGACAAGAAGGAAAAGCAUAUAUUUUUUUAAGUAAAGGCUGAAAAGAGGCAAAUUGACGUAAAUUCAUGUGGCAAAGCAAACUUGUAAUCAUAUCUGUAAAACGUCCUUCAACGUAUUGGCUGGUUUAUUUAGGAUCUUCUUUUCUUUGUGUUUCAGAGUUGGGAUAUCUUUCAUCUCCGACAUCUCGUAUGUUACUCAUUGAGAUGUAGACUUCUUCAGUCUUUCUCUUCAACUGACAAUUCAGCUUCCACACAUCAUUUAAAAUAUUAUUACAGUUUUUUUCGAUUGCUAAACGACAGUGGGCACAACUGGAGCCACAUGUGCAAAACUCAGCAGCAGUUCAUGUGGACCAAACUCUAGUUCGUUUUUCAUUGCUUGACCACAGUUUUCAAACCUCUACACACUUAUCCCAUGACUUAUCCACAACCUGCACAACACUGUGGAUGUACAGCACUUUGUUCAAAUGCUAAAACACUGCUGUCAAAACUGUGAACCACACAUUCAAAACAGAGUGUGCCUUUCAAACACUGCUGAUUGCAAUUUCAGCUGAAAGGCUGAGCAGGUGUCUUGUUUUAGACUUGUUAGUGAACACACACACACACAUAUAUAUGUA